Molecule: ribosomal RNA, 501 nt
Filed under: uncultured bacterium
Lineage: Bacteria
Description: bacterial SSU rRNA
Rfam family: Bacterial small subunit ribosomal RNA
Source: RNAcentral
AGAGUUUGAUCCUGGCUCAGAUUGAACGCUGGCGGCAUGCCUUACACAUGCAAGUCGAACGGUAACGGGCCUUCGGGUGCCGACGAGUGGCGAACGGGUGAGUAAUGCAUCGGAACGUACCUUUCAGUGGGGGAUAACGUAGCGAAAGUUACGCUAAUACCGCAUAUUCUGUGAGCAGGAAAGCAGGGGAUCGCAAGACCUUGCGCUGAUUGAGCGGCCGAUGUCAGAUUAGCUAGUUGGUGAGGUAAAGGCUCACCAAGGCGACGAUCUGUAGCGGGUCUGAGAGGAUGAUCCGCCACACUGGAACUGAGACACGGUCCAGACUCCUACGGGAGGCAGCAGUGGGGAAUUUUGGACAAUGGGGCAACCCUGAUCCAGCCAUGCCGCGUGAGUGAAGAAGGCCUUCGGGUUGUAAAGCUCUUUCGGCCGGGAAGAAAUCGUAUGGGCUAAUACCCUGUGCGGAUGACGGUACCGGCAUAAGAAGCACCGGCUAACUACGUG